CGGAUGCGAUCAUACCAGCACGACA
RNAcentral lists this ribosomal RNA (25 nucleotides) under Saccharum robustum. The record is from RNAcentral. Lineage: Eukaryota; Viridiplantae; Streptophyta; Magnoliopsida; Poales; Poaceae.